Molecule: small nuclear RNA, 106 nt
Organism: Nycticebus coucang (slow loris)
Lineage: Eukaryota; Metazoa; Chordata; Mammalia; Primates; Lorisidae
Source: RefSeq, a predicted model, not a curated record
GUGCUCACUUCAGUAGCGCAUCCAUGAAAUUGGAACGAUGCCGAGAGGAUUAGCCUGGCCCCUGCGCAAGAAUGGCAGGGAAACUCAUCUGGUCCACGAGCCUCUA